UGGGGAAUAUUGGACAAUGGGCGCAAGCCUGAUCCAGCCAUGCCGCGUGAGUGACGAAGGCCUUAGGGUUGUAAAGCUCUUUUGGCGGGGACGAUAAUGACGGUACCCGCAGAAUAAGUCCCGGCUAACUUCGUGCCAGCAGCCGCGGUAAUACGAAGGGGACUAGCGUUGUUCGGAAUCACUGGGCGUAAAGCGCACGUAGGCGGAUUGUUAAGUCAGGGGUGAAAUCCCGGGGCUCAACCUCGGAACUGCCUUUGAUACUGGCAAUCUCGAGUCCGGAAGAGGUGGGUGGAAUUCCUAGUGUAGAGGUGAAAUUCGUAGAUAUUAGGAAGAACACCGGUGGCGAAGGCGGCCCACUGGUCCGGUACUGACGCUGAGGUGCGAAAGCGUGGGGAGCAAACAGGAUUAGAUACCCAAGUAGUCCCUGAGCGGGCUGGCAAGGCGCAU
RNAcentral lists this ribosomal RNA (447 nucleotides) under uncultured bacterium. RNAcentral's name for it is "bacterial SSU rRNA". It matches the Rfam family "Bacterial small subunit ribosomal RNA", at positions 355 to 825 of the family's 1533-position model. The record is from RNAcentral.